RNAcentral lists this long non-coding RNA (218 nucleotides) under Elaeis guineensis (African oil palm). RNAcentral's name for it is "long non-coding RNA (EGUI_LNC071110)". The record is from RNAcentral. Lineage: Eukaryota; Viridiplantae; Streptophyta; Magnoliopsida; Arecales; Arecaceae.
GUGGAAGGUGUUGAAGGGAUGGAUUAAUAAUGGAAGGAUGAUGGAGACUCUCUAGAGAUAAUGGAGAAAUAAUGGAGGACCUUUUGCAGAUGUGAAGAAGAAAUAAGGAAGGAGAUACUUUGUUUAUGUGGAAGAGAACAAAAUCCUCGUGAAGAUGUCUGCUAUGAGAAUGGCAGACUUCGAAAGAUUUGAAGGAGAAGAGACGUUUUUGUGGAAGA